This 487-nucleotide ribosomal RNA is filed under the name uncultured bacterium. RNAcentral's name for it is "partial 16S ribosomal RNA". It matches the Rfam family "Bacterial small subunit ribosomal RNA", at positions 28 to 507 of the family's 1533-position model. The record is from RNAcentral.
GAUGAACGCUAGCGAUAGGCUUAACACAUGCAAGUCGAGGGGCAGCACAAGGUAGCUUGCUAUCUGGGUGGCGACCGGCGCACGGGUGCGUAACGCGUAUGCAACUUGCCCUAUACAGGAGGAUAACCCGUCGAAAGACGGACUAAUACUGCGUAUGCUCACAACUUGGCAUCAAGUGGUGAGGAAAGAAAUUCGGUAUAGGAUAGGCAUGCGUCCCAUUAGCUUGUUGGUGAGGUAACGGCUCACCAAGGCAACGAUGGGUAGGGGAACUGAGAGGUUUAUCCCCCACACUGGUACUGAGACACGGACCAGACUCCUACGGGAGGCAGCAGUGAGGAAUAUUGAUCAAUGGGCGCGAGCCUGAACCAGCCAAGUCGCGUGAAGGAUGACUGUCUUAUGGAUUGUAAACUUCUUUUAUACGGGAAUAACAAGAGUCACGUGUGACUCCCUGCAUGUACCGUAUGAAUAAGCAGCGGCUAACUCCGUG